AACUUUCGACAAUGGAUCUCUUGGUUCUGGCAUCGAUGAAGAACGCAGCGAAAUGCGAUAAGUAAUGUGAAUUGCAGAAUUCAGUGAAUCAUUGAAUCUUUGAACGCACAUUGCGCCCUGUGGUAUUCCGCAGGGCAUGCCUGUUCGAGCGUCAUUUAACCACUCACGCCUAGCGUGGUAUUGGGGCACGCGGUCUCGCGGCCCUCAAAAUUAGUGGCGGCGCCGGUGGGCUCUAAGCGUAGUACAUACUCCCGCUAUAGAGUUCCCCCGGUGGCUCGCCAGAACCCCCAAUUUCUUACAGGUUGACCUCGGAUCAGGUAGGGAUACCCGCUGAACUUAAGCAUAUCAAUAAGCGGAGGCU
Molecule: unclassified non-coding RNA, 361 nt
Filed under: uncultured Phialocephala
Lineage: Eukaryota; Fungi; Ascomycota; Leotiomycetes; Helotiales
Description: sequence contains ITS2
Rfam family: 5.8S ribosomal RNA (bases 1-154)
Source: RNAcentral